GUGCUUGCUUCGGCAACACAUACACACAACAUUGAACAGUACAGUGAAGAUUGGCAUGGGCCUUGCUCAAGAAUGAUACACAAAUUCAUGAAGCAUUCCAUAUUAAA
Zalophus californianus (California sea lion) is the source of this 107-nucleotide small nuclear RNA. Lineage: Eukaryota; Metazoa; Chordata; Mammalia; Carnivora; Otariidae. The record is from Ensembl.